Puntigrus tetrazona (Sumatra barb) is the source of this 175-nucleotide long non-coding RNA. RefSeq lists it as uncharacterized. NCBI's taxonomy places the organism in Eukaryota, Metazoa, Chordata, Actinopteri, Cypriniformes, Cyprinidae. The transcript is spliced from 3 exons. The record is from RefSeq and is a predicted model, not a curated record.
AUCAACUCAGCAGCUUCUGUAUGAGGUCCAUCCAAUUCACCUCCAAGGUCCUGUCCUGGUCUCUGGCGGCGCAGAAACUUUUCUUGGGUCUUCAGGAAUGGACAACCUCACUUCAUCCCCAACAGGUAGGGAAUGGAAUUCCACUUGUCACCAAGUUUGUUCUUUCCUGUCAAGG